CAGCCGCCGCGGGAAUACGUAGGUGGCAAGCGUUGUCCGGAAUUAUUGGGCGUAAAGGGUGCGUAGGCGGCCCCGCAAGUCUCAUGUGAAAUCUUCAGGCUCAACUUGAAGUCUGCAUGGGAAACUGCGGGGCUGGAGUAUGGGAGAGGUGAGUGGAAUUCCUGGUGUAGCGGUGAAAUGCGUAGAUAUCAGGAGGAACACCUGUGGCGAAAGCGGCUCACUGGACCAUAACUGACGCUGAGGCACGAAAGCUAGGGGAGCAAACAGGAUUAGAGACCCGUGUAGUCCCUGUAUCUUAUAC
RNAcentral lists this ribosomal RNA (301 nucleotides) under uncultured bacterium. Its description in RNAcentral is "partial 16S ribosomal RNA". It matches the Rfam family "Bacterial small subunit ribosomal RNA", at positions 509 to 812 of the family's 1533-position model. The record is from RNAcentral.